CUUCCUCAGCCUUACUCCAGGGGCUUUUGGUUUUUUUUGUAGAGUGCCCUGGCAUUGCCUGAGGAUAAAUUGAAAGUAUGCUCAAUUCCCUCCCCAGUAAGACUCUCAGUAUCCUCUGGGGCCUACAAUUUGAGCAAACAUU
Molecule: small nucleolar RNA, 142 nt
Organism: Chroicocephalus ridibundus (black-headed gull)
Lineage: Eukaryota; Metazoa; Chordata; Aves; Charadriiformes; Laridae
Product: small nucleolar RNA SNORA49
Exons: 1
Source: RefSeq, a predicted model, not a curated record